RNAcentral lists this ribosomal RNA (468 nucleotides) under uncultured bacterium. RNAcentral's name for it is "partial 16S ribosomal RNA". It matches the Rfam family "Bacterial small subunit ribosomal RNA", at positions 28 to 507 of the family's 1533-position model. The record is from RNAcentral.
GACGAACGCUGGCGGCGUGCUUAACACAUGCAAGUCGAACGGAAAGGCCCUGCUUUUGUGGGGUGCUCGAGUGGCGAACGGGUGAGUAACACGUGAGUAACCUGCCCUUGACUUUGGGAUAACUUCAGGAAACUGGGGCUAAUACCGGAUAGGAGCUCCUGCUGCAUGGUGGGGGUUGGAAAGUUUCGGCGGUUGGGGAUGGACUCGCGGCUUAUCAGCUUGUUGGUGGGGUAGUGGCUUACCAAGGCUUUGACGGGUAGCCGGCCUGAGAGGGUGACCGGCCACCUUGGGACUGCGAGACGGCCCAGACUCCUACGGGAGGCAGCAGUGGGGAAUAUUGCACAAUGGGCGGAAGCCUGAUGCAGCAACGCCGCGUGCGGGAUGACGGCCUUCGGGUUGUAAACCGCUUUCGCCUGUGACGAAGCGUGAGUGACGGUAAUGGGUAAAGAAGCACCGGCUAACUACGUG